Molecule: non-coding RNA, 182 nt
Organism: Equus caballus (horse)
Lineage: Eukaryota; Metazoa; Chordata; Mammalia; Perissodactyla; Equidae
Source: Rfam
GCAUAGUGUUACCAUGAGCAACACAUCCUAAUUUCACUUUCUCAUUCAACAGCCACUUGAGUGGAUUCUAGAUUCUGAAAAUACGAUAUGAAUUUCAAGCGGUGCUUGUCUCCUCCUGCACCCCAAUUCUGAAUCUAGUUAGGAAGAUCUGAAAGUAAUGUAUCUAACAAGCCACUAUAAGG